This 494-nucleotide ribosomal RNA is filed under the name uncultured bacterium. RNAcentral describes it as "bacterial SSU rRNA". It matches the Rfam family "Bacterial small subunit ribosomal RNA", at positions 903 to 1397 of the family's 1533-position model. The record is from RNAcentral.
AAAGGAAUUGACGGGGGCCCGCACAAGCAGCGGAGCAUGUUGUUUAAUUCGAAGCAACGCGAAGAACCUUACCAGGUCUUGACAUCGAUGUAAACCUUCAGAGAUGAAGGGUCUCUUCGGAGGACAGAAGACAGGUGGUGCAUGGUUGUCGUCAGCUCGUGUCGUGAGAUGUUGGGUUAAGUCCCGCAACGAGCGCAACCCUUAUGGUCAGUUACUAACGCGUGAAGGCGAGGACUCUGACAAGACUGCCGGGGACAACUCGGAGGAAGGUGGGGACGACGUCAAAUCAUCAUGCCCCUUAUGACCUGGGCUACAAACGUGCUACAAUGGUGACUACAAAGAGGAGCGAGACCGUAAGGUGGAGCGGAUCUCAAAAAAGUCAUCCCAGUUCGGAUUGUGGGCUGCAACCCGCCCACAUGAAGUUGGAGUUGCUAGUAAUCGCGGAUCAGCAUGCCGCGGUGAAUACGUUCCCGGGCCUUGUACACACCGCCCGU